RNAcentral lists this long non-coding RNA (1020 nucleotides) under Pogona vitticeps (central bearded dragon). RNAcentral's name for it is "lncRNA (ENSPVIG00000014147.1)". The record is from RNAcentral. Lineage: Eukaryota; Metazoa; Chordata; Lepidosauria; Squamata; Agamidae.
AUGCAAAGCAUUUCAUAAGUGUCCAGCAUUCUUUAUUAUUACUGCUAUAGAAUCUGAACAAAUUAUGUCAGAAUUGCUUUAAGAUUUUACAUUCUGCCUUUGAACGCCGAGGGUCACCCCUUAUCUUACAGAGCGUAAGUUAUUACAGUAGAAGAGGUCAAACUAUACAUUACAGAGAACAAACUGUUAGAAAAGGGAACUCCUUAAGAGCUGAAAGUGUUCAGUUUUCACAGAAGGAGCCUCUCACACCUAUAAUUUCCAAAUUAAAAGCAAAGUAAAGUGCACAGCUUAUAUACCGCCCAGUGCACUUAAAGUGCUCUUGGUGUGCUUUCCAAUUUAAUUAUGAAGGCUAAACAUUGCCCCCCCUUGAGCUAGAUACUUAGUGUGCUUUGUUUUGUGAUUGGUCUUUGAAAAGUCAAUCCCAACUUCAUUUGUACUCAAAUAAAAUAAUCUGCCAGAAUCACAUUUGUGAAACAUUAAAGUCGUUUCAUAUUCUAUUGAUCACAAUAUGUGCAAUUAUUAAUUUAUUAAUUCUAUGAUUAGUGGGUAAGGAUAGUCAUUUUGGGUCCUUUUAUGGAAAAAGCCCCAAGAUGACAAUUUUGCCUCUUUUAUGGGAUAAAAAUUAAUUAAUUAGGCUCUGAGAUUUCAGAUCAGAGAAAGUGUAAAGCAUUUUUCCAAAUAUAAGUCUGUGCCUGUGGGUAGACCUUACACUAUUCAAAACGAGGGUCCCCUAAAAGCUCACUGCAGCAAGCAAGAGUACCUGCAGGUCUUAAAGCUUUUACUUAACACUCUACUGUCCUACCACACCUUUUACCAACAAAAGCUGACAGAUAACAAGAAAAACAGAGAAGAUCCAGAAAAGAAAAAAAACAGGUAAGGGGAUAUCAAUGAAUCCACAUAUUUCUGUUACGUCCAUGCUGGAUGUACACUGAUACAUUGCCAGAAUGGCUCCCUCAUCUGAUGUAUGCAAGUCUGGGAAGGGAAAGGAAACCACACAAGAUGGAAAAUAUACAGAUGGCA